This is a long non-coding RNA of Melitaea cinxia (Glanville fritillary), 876 nucleotides long. RefSeq lists it as uncharacterized. The transcript is spliced from 2 exons. The record is from RefSeq and is a predicted model, not a curated record. Lineage: Eukaryota; Metazoa; Arthropoda; Insecta; Lepidoptera; Nymphalidae.
AAAUGUAACUAGUCUAGAAAAUCUAUUAAUACGUAACAUGUUAUUUGUGUUUAAUUGGUUCUUUACUUCGUUUUAAUGAUAGAACAAUGGGUCGCCGCGCGCGUCACGGUCGUAAUGUUACUAGUGUAAAAUAAAUGGCUCCUGUUUUAGAAACGGUGACUUAACACGCAAAUUUUAUAAAUAAUAAUUGUGCAACGCGCUGGCCACGGCUCAACACAGCUCAGCAGUGUUCGUAGACUUGUCUGAAACGGUAAUUCAGUUCACGCCUCUUAACGGGACAAGCGCGUCCCGCCAUUUCCGCGAAUCCUGCAAAUCACGCGAAAACAAGUUACAUUAUUGAAAACAAAUUAAUUUUUAAACUAUUUGCAAAUAAAUGUGAUAUGGCUGUAUGUUAAUCCACGCUUAAUAAAGAGUUAUAAUGGAAAGAAAAAGGUGAAAUUGUGUCAAAAUAUUUAUGUCGUGUUUGUUACGGUUACAAUUUUUUUUUAAUUUUUAGGGUUGUUCUUUUUUUAAAUUGUGUGUUCCUUGUUUGGAAAACAACGAUUCCAAAUUCAUUUAUUUUUAAUUACUUACCUACUUUUGUUUUAUUUAGUUAUGAUAUACAGAUGUUCCUUAUAAUAAUAUUUUCACACAUUUUAAUAAGAAAAUUUAAAGCUUAAUCAUAUUCCUAGCGGUGCGACAAAUAAUAGUCGGCAUUGCCAAAUGUGAAAUCUAAUUUUGUAGCUAUUUUUUUUUCUUUUGAUUCAAAAUAUUAAUGUCGAAGACGUUGACCGCAUUAUGGGCUAAUAUGGUAGACUAUUGUGACUUUUUUAAAUUACCUUUAUUUCGCUUUAGUUUAUUUACUAAGCAAUUAUAAAUAUUAUUUUACCCAAGACA